This 934-nucleotide unclassified non-coding RNA is filed under the name Leishmania donovani. RNAcentral's name for it is "gene:unknown". The record is from RNAcentral. Lineage: Eukaryota; Euglenozoa; Kinetoplastea; Trypanosomatida; Trypanosomatidae.
CUACAUGCCCCACACACACACACACACACACACACACACACACACGACGCAUAUGCGUAUGCACGCUCAUGCAGUGCGACUGGAAGAGAGCGAAGCCUAUAUUCUGCGACCCUUUAACGUCCUCUCUUCACCUCUCCGUCAACUAUUUUCUUCUCGCUGUAUCACUUACUAGACGUUGUCUUCCUCAACCUUGCAUCCAAACGUGCACACGCACACGAAUGCAUACACAGAUCCGCAGAUAAGCAGACAUGCAUAGCGCUUUUUCUAUUGCGAUCGAAGGCACACGUAAGAACGGUGAAUGCGGCCGGAUCUCGCUUCUCUUCCCCCGCUGCCCUGUCCUCCCUUCCCCCUCCACUGUACGAUUAAACGAAGUGACGUUGGCUUUGUGUGGGCGGUGGUGUUCGGAGAGCAAGUUUGAUACUUUCCCGUUUCGAGGGUCACGCGUGCGUCUUCUUCCUUCUCUGCCUUCCAGGUUGUUUUUCACACACCUCAGUCACGACGUUUGAUGACAUUAUUAUUAUCAUCACCUCCUGGUGAAAGAGUGCUGUCCUCUUAUAUUGGGGGAGCGUGGUCACUCUCUUUUCCUCCUCCUUGUAUUUUGGAAUGGUGCUCGCUGUUUUUUUUUUUACUAUCUUCUCUGUGAGCUCAAGUCAGUCCCGCCCCCACCCGACCAGCCACUGGGUGAAAGCCAUGGCGGAUAAGGGAAGGGGUGAGCGCCCUCCUCUCGUAGAAGUUAUUGAAAAACAUACCGCGCGAUUCCGCAAGAGCACAGCACCAAAGUCAGCUUUCCCUACCCCUACCUGUGUUGACGUCCAACACGUCUGGUAACGUCACCCACCGCAGGUUGAAAAACGGGAUGGAGUUCUCUACGAAGUGCUUACUCUUUUCUGCUCCACCCUUUCCUCUCUCCCUCAUCUCACAUUAUCGAGGGAAG